This 607-nucleotide ribosomal RNA is filed under the name Salmonella enterica. RNAcentral describes it as "partial 23S ribosomal RNA". It matches the Rfam family "Bacterial large subunit ribosomal RNA", at positions 17 to 666 of the family's 2925-position model. The record is from RNAcentral. Lineage: Bacteria; Pseudomonadati; Pseudomonadota; Gammaproteobacteria; Enterobacterales; Enterobacteriaceae.
GUACACGGUGGAUGCCCUGGCAGUCAGAGGCGAUGAAGGGCGUGCUAAUCUGCGAUAAGCGCCGGUAAGGUGAUAUGAACCGUUAUAACCGGCGAUACCCGAAUGGGGAAACCCAGUGUGACUCGUCACACUAUCAUUAACUGAAUCCAUAGGUUAAUGAGGCGAACCGGGGGAACUGAAACAUCUAAGUACCCCGAGGAAAAGAAAUCAACCGAGAUUCCCCCAGUAGCGGCGAGCGAACGGGGAGGAGCCCAGAGCCUGAAUCAGCAUGUGUGUUAGUGGAAGCGUCUGGAAAGGCGCGCGAUACAGGGUGACAGCCCCGUACACAAAAGCGCAUGUGCUGUGAGCUCGAUGAGUAGGGCGGGACACGUGGUAUCCUGUCUGAAUAUGGGGGGACCAUCCUCCAAGGCUAAAUACUCCUGACUGACCGAUAGUGAACCAGUACCGUGAGGGAAAGGCGAAAAGAACCCCGGCGAGGGGAGUGAAAAAGAACCUGAAACCGUGUACGUACAAGCAGUGGGAGCACCCUUUGGGGUGUGACUGCGUACCUUUUGUAUAAUGGGUCAGCGACUUAUAUUCUGUAGCAAGGUUAACCGAAUAGGGGAGC